RNAcentral lists this ribosomal RNA (217 nucleotides) under uncultured Staphylococcus sp. RNAcentral describes it as "partial 16S ribosomal RNA". It matches the Rfam family "Bacterial small subunit ribosomal RNA", at positions 148 to 355 of the family's 1533-position model. Lineage: Bacteria; Bacillati; Bacillota; Bacilli; Caryophanales; Staphylococcaceae. The record is from RNAcentral.
UUACGGUAACCGUACGAGCUAAUACCGGAUAAUAUUUCGAACCGCAUGGUUCGAUAGUGAAAGGUGGUUUUGCUAUCACUUAUAGAUGGACCCGCGCCGUAUUAGCUAGUUGGUAAGGUAACGGCUUACCAAGGCGACGAUACGUAGCCGACCUGAGAGGGUGAUCGGCCACACUGGAACUGAGACACGGUCCAGACUCCUACGGGAGGCAGCAGCA